RNAcentral lists this ribosomal RNA (496 nucleotides) under uncultured bacterium. Its description in RNAcentral is "partial 16S ribosomal RNA". It matches the Rfam family "Bacterial small subunit ribosomal RNA", at positions 28 to 506 of the family's 1533-position model. The record is from RNAcentral.
GAUGAACGCUGGCGGCGUGCCUAAUACAUGCAAGUCGAGCGAACAGACGAGGAGCUUGCUCCUCUGACGUUAGCGGCGGACGGGUGAGUAACACGUGGGUAACCUACCUAUAAGACUGGGAUAACUUCGGGAAACCGGAGCUAAUACCGGAUAACAUGUUGAACCGCAUGGUUCAACAGUGAAAGACGGUCUUGCUGUCACUUAUAGAUGGAUCCGCGCCGCAUUAGCUAGUUGGUAAGGUAACGGCUUACCAAGGCAACGAUGCGUAGCCGACCUGAGAGGGUGAUCGGCCACACUGGAACUGAGACACGGUCCAGACUCCUACGGGAGGCAGCAGUAGGGAAUCUUCCGCAAUGGGCGAAAGCCUGACGGAGCAACGCCGCGUGAGUGAAGAAGGUCUUCGGAUCGUAAAACUCUGUUAUUAGGGAAGAACAAAUGUGUAAGUAACUAUGCACGUCUUGACGGUACCUAAUCAGAAAGCCACGGCUAACUACGU